GAUGAAGAACGCAGCGAAAUGCGAUAAGUAAUGUGAAUUGCAGAAUUCAGUGAAUCAUCGAAUCUUUGAACGCAUAUUGCGCUCUCUGGUAUUCCGGAGAGCAUGCUUGUUUGAGUAUCAGUAAACACCUCAACUUCCAUAUCUUUUUUGAAAUGGGAGUUGGACUUGAGUGAUCCCAACGCUUUUCCUCACCGAAAAGUGGCGGGUUACUUGAAAUGCAGGUGCAGCUGGACUUUUCUCUGAGCUAUAAGCAUAUCUAUUUAGUCUGCCUAAAAAACAGAUUAUUACCUUUGCUGCAGCUAACAUAAAGGAGAUUAGUUCUUGUGCUGACUGAUGCAGGAUUCACAAAAACGGCUUCGGCCGACUUUGUAAACUCGAUCUCAAAUCAAGUAAGACUACCCGCUGAACUUAAGCAUAUCAAUAAGCGGAGGA
This 432-nucleotide unclassified non-coding RNA is filed under the name soil metagenome. Its description in RNAcentral is "partial contains 5.8S ribosomal RNA, internal transcribed spacer 2, and large subunit ribosomal RNA". The stretch from base 1 to 120 matches the Rfam family "5.8S ribosomal RNA", at positions 35 to 154 of the family's 154-position model. The record is from RNAcentral.